UUUGAUCCUGGCUCAGAAUCAACGUUGGUGGCGUGGAUUAGGCAUGCAAGUCGCGCGACAAGUUUCCUGCUUGCAGGAAACGGAGGAGCGGCGAAAGGGAGAGUAACACGUGGAUACCUGCCCUCAGCUCCGGGAUAGCAGCGGGAAACUGCUGGUAAUACCGGAUAAUAUCCCCGGAUCAAAGGUGUGAUUCCGGCUGGGGAUGGGUCCGCGUCCUAUUAGGUUGUUGGUGGGGUAAUGGCCCACCAAGCCAAAGAUGGGUACCGGGCGUGAGAGCGUGGCCCGGCUCACUGGGACUGAGACACUGCCCAGACAUCUACGGAUGGCUGCAGUCGAGGAUCUUCCGCAAUGGACGAAAGUCUGACGGAGCGACGCCGCGUGCGGGAUGAAGGCCUUCGGGUUGUAAACCGCUGUCAGUGGGGAGCAAAUGCAUCAGGGCAAUCCCUGUUGUUUGAGCGAUCCGCAGAGGAAGUACGGGCUAAGUUCGUGCCAGCAGCCGCGGUAACACGAACCGUACGAACGUUAUUCGGAAUCACUGGGCUUAAAGAGUCCGUAGCGGCCUGGUAAGGUGAGGUGUGAAAUCC
Molecule: ribosomal RNA, 584 nt
Filed under: uncultured bacterium
Lineage: Bacteria
Description: bacterial SSU rRNA
Rfam family: Bacterial small subunit ribosomal RNA
Source: RNAcentral